CCCUGAUACACACUGACACAGAGCAGAAUAGGGACUGUUCCCCCUACAUAGGGUCACUUGGCAGAUAUGGAUUGACACCUAUCCUCAGGAUCCCUGAUACACACAGAGCAGAAUAGAGACUGUUCACCCUACAUAGGGUCACUUGGCAGAUAUGGAUUGACACCUAUCCUCAGGAUCCCUGAUACACACUGACACAGAGCAGAAUAGGGACUGUUCCCCCUGCAUAGGGUCACU
Non-coding RNA from Pelobates cultripes (western spadefoot toad), 234 nucleotides. NCBI's taxonomy places the organism in Eukaryota, Metazoa, Chordata, Amphibia, Anura, Pelobatidae. The record is from the annotation of a GenBank genome assembly.